AUUCAAAUAGUUUAAGGAAAAUGUUAGCUUGUGGAGCUUAAGAUAUAAUUUGUUAUUUUGGAUA
This 64-nucleotide transfer RNA is filed under the name Quadrella coronata. Its description in RNAcentral is "tRNA-His". It matches the Rfam family "tRNA". Rfam says of the family: Transfer RNA (tRNA) molecules are approximately 80 nucleotides in length. Their secondary structure includes four short double-helical elements and three loops (D, anti-codon, and T loops). The record is from RNAcentral. Lineage: Eukaryota; Metazoa; Arthropoda; Malacostraca; Decapoda; Trapeziidae.